GACGAACGCUGGCGGCGUGCUUAACACAUGCAAGUCGAACGGAAAGGCCCUGCUUUUGUGGGGUGCUCGAGUGGCGAACGGGUGAGUAACGCGUGAGUAACCUGCCCUUGACUUUGGGAUAACUUCAGGAAACUGGGGCUAAUACCGGAUAGGAGCUCCUGCUGCAUGGUGGGGGUUGGAAAGUUUCGGCGGUUGGGGAUGGACUCGCGGCUUAUCAGCUUGUUGGUGGGGUAGUGGCUUACCAAGGCUUUGACGGGUAGCCGGCCUGAGAGGGUGACCGGCCACAUUGGGACUGAGAUACGGCCCAGACUCCUACGGGAGGCAGCAGUGGGGAAUAUUGCACAAUGGGCGGAAGCCUGAUGCAGCAACGCCGCGUGCGGGAUGACGGCCUUCGGGUUGUAAACCGCUUUCGCCUGUGACGAAGCGUGAGUGACGGUAAUGGGUAAAGAAGCACCGGCUAACUACGUGCCAGCAGCCGCGGUGAUACGUAGGGUGCGAGCGUUGUCCGGAUUUAUUGGGCGUAAAGGGCUCGUAGGUGGUUGAUCGCGUCGGAAGUGUAAUCUUGGGGCUUAACCCUGAGCGUGCUUUCGAUACGGGUUGACUUGAGGAAGGUAGGGGAGAAUGGAAUUCCUGGUGGAGCGGUGGAAUGCGCAGAUAUCAGGAGGAACACCAGUGGCGAAGGCGGUUCUCUGGGCCUUUCCUGACGCUGAGGAGCGAAAGCGUGGGGAGCGAACAGGCUUAGAUACCCUGGUAGUCCACGCUGUAAACGGUGGGUACUAGGUGUGGGGUCCAUUCCACGGGUUCCGUGCCGUAGCUAACGCUUUAAGUACCCCGCCUGGGGAGUACGGCCGCAAGGCUAAAACUCAAAGGAAUUGACGGGGCCCCGCACAAGCGGCGGAGCAUGCGGAUUAAUUCGAUGCAACGCGUAGAACCUUACCUGGGUUUGACAUGGAUCGGGAGUGCUCAGAGAUGGGUGUGCCUCUUUUGGGGUCGGUUCACAGGUGGUGCAUGGCUGUCGUCAGCUCGUGUCGUGAGAUGCUGGGUUAAGUCCCGCAACGAGCGCAACCCUUGUUCACUGUUGCCAGCACGUUAUGGUGGGGACUCAGUGGAGACCGCCGGGGUCAACUCGGAGGAAGGUGGGGAUGACGUCAAGUCAUCAUGCCCCUUAUGUCCAGGGCUUCACGCAUGCUACAAUGGCUGGUACAGAGAGUGGCGAGCCUGUGAGGGUGAGCGAAUCUCGGAAAGCCGGUCUCAGUUCGGAUUGGGGUCUGCAACUCGACCUCAUGAAGUCGGAGUCGCUAGUAAUCGCAGAUCAGCAACGCUGCGGUGAAUACGUUCCCGGG
This 1343-nucleotide ribosomal RNA is filed under the name uncultured bacterium. RNAcentral describes it as "16S ribosomal RNA". It matches the Rfam family "Bacterial small subunit ribosomal RNA", at positions 28 to 1378 of the family's 1533-position model. The record is from RNAcentral.